UCUACUGUGGUAGGUGCCUCUAGGGCCUGGGU
This 32-nucleotide non-coding RNA is filed under the name Rattus norvegicus (Norway rat). The record is from RNAcentral. Lineage: Eukaryota; Metazoa; Chordata; Mammalia; Rodentia; Muridae.